Pelobates cultripes (western spadefoot toad) is the source of this 311-nucleotide non-coding RNA. NCBI's taxonomy places the organism in Eukaryota, Metazoa, Chordata, Amphibia, Anura, Pelobatidae. The record is from the annotation of a GenBank genome assembly.
CCAUACUGGAACCAGACCAAAUCAGACAUUCAACUGAUUCUCGGAAACAAUACUGAAUGGUCAGAAGAAUUAGCUAUACUACACAUUUCCUCACAACCGUUAUCCAAGUACAAAAAAUCAAUGCUGAGCCACCUGUUGAACGCGGCUAAGUCGCUCAUACUGGUGUACUGGAAAAAGACGAACGUGAUACGAACGCACCGAGGUCCGGAACACACAUAUGGACAACCACACAAUGGGGGAUAUACUUAAUGCAAUAUAAUUUAACUUUCUAUAACCCACACUAUCGUCUCCGAACUCCACUUGUACCAAAU